AAUAAUAUUACACCUACAAUAAUGGUAUAGGAAGAAAUCAAAGUGAAGAAAAAAUGUUCAGGUGAAGACAAAUUCAAAGUUUUUGGCAACAUCCCAAACUUCCUUUCUUUCCCAAUGACAUUCCUUAUAUUUGAAAAUAAAUGAAUGAUAGAAAAAAAAUCUUAAACCUUAUUUUUGCCAGAGAGGAUACAAUAUUAGUCUGAGAUUAAUAAAACUGAGGCACUGAGGCACAUUCAGUUUAAUUUAUUGCACUUCCUGGGUCACAUAACCUGCAUUUCCUGAAGUUGUUUGUUCACUGGAAUGAUUGACGCUUAGGUUCUAUGAAGGGAGCAUUUUAAGACAUUAUAGGUGCAUUCCUAAUGCAUUUCAAACAGAUGAGAACUCAAUUAUGUUGCCUUUAAAAACCUAGUUUUACCCAAGUUUUAAGGCUGCAUUACAUAAUUUGUGAAGAAGGCAAUUCCAUAAAAUAUGAGCAUCAUAAUGUGUUUGCAUUUAUAUUAGCAUGCCAUUCACUUAGCAACAUACCAAAACUAUCAAAGCAUGUAAAAGCUGGCUAUUAAUACAGUUCUAUCACAGUUAUGAGGUGGCCUACUGUAUGUAGGCAAUGAGACAGUUCAUAGGUUUUGGAAGAUAACAAAUAUCCUGAACAUGUAUAGCACUUAAGAAGGAGUAGGCCAUGUAAUUUAUAACUGUGAGAAAUUUGCUUGCCUCUUUUUCCCACUCUAGCCUUGAUCCCAUCAGCUGUUUCACAGAACAAUCAGGCCUCACCUGGAAGUGAUGUAGCAUCUGCGAUUGGCUGAUGCAAUUCCAGCAACAGCUCGCUCUCAUAGCCUGAAGAGUCUGAUGCCUGUUGUUGAGGAUGAUGUGCUUUAGCUCGUGGACGUACAGCUGCAUCUGUCUCUUUUGCCCUCCAUCAAACUCAAGUGGGUCUUGAUUCUUUUAAUGUCCUUUGGCUUUGGAUUCAAUCAGCGGUUCAAUUUGCUCCAGGCCUCCUUGAAGCGGGAUGGAUGAGGUCUCGGGCAGAGGUUUCCAAAAGGUGCCACAACUGGAUGAUAAUUGUCUAAAAUGACAUUCAAAUAUUCUAACCUGAGGUGACUGUGUUUUCUCUCAUGUAAAAUAUAUAUAUAUAUAUAUUAUUUACUUUUAUUUAUUUAUUUAUUUUAUAUUUAUUUACUAUUAUUAUUAUUAUUUUUUUUUUGGUGAGUUUCCUUAUACAGUGGUGAUUUAAUGCUUAGGCCCCUCACUUACCAGUAAGAGACUGUUAACUGACUUUGAUAGAGUCUAAUCUGUAAGCAAGUAAUGCAACAAAACUAGAAUGAACCAUUCAGACAUUUAAAAUCACCCUCCCAACUUCUUAUUAUAAAUAAGCAAAGAGAGAAAAAAAAUGAAUUACCCUAAGGUGGGAAAAAAAAGGAUUAUAUAUUAAUUACAUAAAUUAUGAAGUAUUUAAACAUAGUGGUAUUAUU
This is a long non-coding RNA of Cyprinus carpio carpio, 1466 nucleotides long. Lineage: Eukaryota; Metazoa; Chordata; Actinopteri; Cypriniformes; Cyprinidae. The record is from Ensembl.